Molecule: long non-coding RNA, 121 nt
Filed under: Canis lupus dingo (dingo)
Lineage: Eukaryota; Metazoa; Chordata; Mammalia; Carnivora; Canidae
Source: RNAcentral
ACUAGAGCCAAAUCUAUCUCAAAAGUUUGGGACAAUAAUUUUUCUCCUUUCUGUCAAUACUCAAUGAGAAAUUAACACUUAGAAUAAAACUUUUCGAUGAAUAAAGGAUAGUAAUAUCCAC